AACGAACGCUGGCGGCGUGCUUAACACAUGCAAGUCGAACGAGAACGGGCUAUAGCUUGCUAUAGUUGUCAGCUAAGUGGCGCACGGGUGAGUAAUGUAUAGGUAAUAUGCCUCUUACUAAGGGAUAACAAAUGGAAACGUUUGCUAAUACCUUAUACUCCUUAUUAACAUAAGUUAAUAAGGGAAAGAUUUAUUGGUAAGGGAUUAGCCUGUAUUGUAUCAGUUAGUUGGUGGGGUAAUGGCUUACCAAGACUAUGACACAUAACUGGUUUGAGAGGAUGAUCAGUCACACUGGAACUGAGACACGGUCCAGACUCCUACGGGAGGCAGCAGUGGGGAAUAUUGCACAAUGGACGAAAGUCUGAUGCAGCAACGCCGCGUGGAGGAUGACACAUUUCGGUGCGUAAACUCCUUUUAUAUGAGAAGAUAAUGACGGUAUUAUAUGAAUAAGCACCGGCUAACUCCGUGCCAGCAGCCGCAGUAA
Molecule: ribosomal RNA, 484 nt
Filed under: uncultured bacterium
Lineage: Bacteria
Description: partial 16S ribosomal RNA
Rfam family: Bacterial small subunit ribosomal RNA
Source: RNAcentral